This 995-nucleotide ribosomal RNA is filed under the name Bacillus subtilis. RNAcentral's name for it is "bacterial SSU rRNA". It matches the Rfam family "Bacterial small subunit ribosomal RNA", at positions 313 to 1333 of the family's 1533-position model. Lineage: Bacteria; Bacillati; Bacillota; Bacilli; Caryophanales; Bacillaceae. The record is from RNAcentral.
CUGGGACUGAGACCCGGCCCAGAUUCCUACGGGAGGCAGCAGUAGGGAAUCUUCCGCAAUGGACGAAAGUCUGACGGAGCAACGCCGCGUGAUGAUGAAGGUUUUCGGAUCGUAAAGCUCUGUUGUUAGGGAAGAACAAGUACCGUUCGAAUAGGGCGGUACCUUGACGGUACCUAACCAGAAAGCCACGGCUAACUACGUGCCAGCAGCCGCGGUAAUACGUAGGUGGCAAGCGUUGUCCGGAAUUAUUGGGCGUAAAGGGCUCGCAGGCGGUUUCUUAAGUCUGAUGUGAAAGCCCCCGGCUCAACCGGGGAGGGUCAUUGGAAACUGGGGAACUUGAGUGCAGAAGAGGAGAGUGGAAUUCCACGUGUAGCGGUGAAAUGCGUAGAGAUGUGGAGGAACACCAGUGGCGAAGGCGACUCUCUGGUCUGUAACUGACGCUGAGGAGCGAAAGCGUGGGGAGCGAACAGGAUUAGAUACCCUGGUAGUCCACGCCGUAAACGAUGAGUGCUAAGUGUUAGGGGGUUUCCGCCCCUUAGUGCUGCAGCUAACGCAUUAAGCACUCCGCCUGGGGAGUACGGUCGCAAGACUGAAACUCAAAGGAAUUGACGGGGGCCCGCACAAGCGGUGGAGCAUGUGGUUUAAUUCGAAGCAACGCGAAGAACCUUACCAGGUCUUGACAUCCUCUGACAAUCCUAGAGAUAGGACGUCCCCUUCGGGGGCAGAGUGACAGGUGGUGCAUGGUUGUCGUCAGCUCGUGUCGUGAGAUGUUGGGUUAAGUCCCGCAACGAGCGCAACCCUUGAUCUUAGUUGCCAGCAUUCAGUUGGGCACUCUAAGUGACUGCCGGUGACAACCGGAGGAAGGUGGGGAUGACGUCAAUCAUCUGCCCCUUAUGACUGGGCUACCGUGCUCAUGGAAAACAAGGGCAAAACCGAGGUUAACCCAUCCCCAAAUUUAUCGAUCCUGCACACGGCUGAACUGGAACCCUAAAAUC